This 444-nucleotide ribosomal RNA is filed under the name uncultured bacterium. RNAcentral's name for it is "partial 16S ribosomal RNA". It matches the Rfam family "Bacterial small subunit ribosomal RNA", at positions 338 to 795 of the family's 1533-position model. The record is from RNAcentral.
CCUACGGGAGGCAGCAGUGAGGAAUAUUGGUCAAUGGCCGGAAGGCUGAACCAGCCAAGCCGCGUGAAGGACGAAGGUGCCAAGCAUUGUAAACUUCUUUUCUCAGGGACGAAGAAAGUGACGGUACCUGAGGCAUAAGCCACGGCUAACUACGUGCCAGCAGCCGCGGUAAGACGUAGGUGGCAAGCGUUAUCCGGAUUUAUUGGGUGUAAAGGGCGUGUAGGCGGGAGCGCAAGUCAGAUGGGAAAACUCAGGGCGCAAGCCUGGGCCUGCCUUUGAAACUGUGUUUCUUGAGUGCUGGAGAGGCAAGCGGAAUUCCGGGUGUAGCGGUGAAAUGCGUAGAUAUACGGAGGAACACCAGUGGCGAAGGCGGAUUGCGGGACAGUAACUGACGCUGAGGCGCGAAAGCGUGGGGAUCAAACAGGAUUAGAUACCCGAGUAGUC